CUACGGGCGCUGCAGUGGGGAAUAUUGGACAAUGGGCGAAAGCCUGAUCCAGCCAUGCCGCGUGUGUGAAGAAGGCCUUCGGGUUGUAAAGCACUUUCAGUGGGGAAGAAAGCCUUGGGGCUAAUACCCUCGAGGAAGGACAUCACCCACAGAAGAAGCACCGGCUAACUCCGUGCCAGCAGCCGCGGUAAUACGGAGGGUGCGAGCGUUAAUCGGAAUUACUGGGCGUAAAGCGCGCGUAGGCGGUCUGAUAAGCCGGUUGUGAAAGCCCCGGGCUCAACCUGGGAACGGCAUCCGGAACUGUCAGGCUAGAGUGCAGGAGAGGAAGGUAGAAUUCCCGGUGUAGCGGUGAAAUGCGUAGAGAUCGGGAGGAAUACCAGUGGCGAAGGCGGCCUUCUGGACUGACACUGACGCUGAGGUGCGAAAGCGUGGGUAGCAAACAGGAUUAGAUACCCUUGUAGUC
RNAcentral lists this ribosomal RNA (463 nucleotides) under Vreelandella stevensii. RNAcentral describes it as "partial 16S ribosomal RNA". It matches the Rfam family "Bacterial small subunit ribosomal RNA", at positions 339 to 795 of the family's 1533-position model. The record is from RNAcentral. Lineage: Bacteria; Pseudomonadati; Pseudomonadota; Gammaproteobacteria; Oceanospirillales; Halomonadaceae.